Long non-coding RNA from Oncorhynchus tshawytscha (Chinook salmon), 474 nucleotides. The record is from Ensembl. Lineage: Eukaryota; Metazoa; Chordata; Actinopteri; Salmoniformes; Salmonidae.
AGACAGAUACACAGACAGACAGAAUGACAGACAGACAGAUACACAGACAGAAUGACAGCCAGACAGACAGAUACACAGACAGACAGAAUGACAGACAGACAGAUACACAGACAGAAUGACAGACAGACAGACAGACAGAUACACAGACAGACAGACAGACAGAAUGACAGACAGAAAACUUCUUAGAACCAUUGUCAUGUUUUAUCAGACCCAGCUCUGCCAGCUGACUUUAACAAACCACCACUUACUAUAUAGGAGAGGUCGGGUAAAUUUAAGAACCCACCACUUAUUGUAUAUAGGAGAGGUCGGGUAAAUUUAAGAACCCACCCUGUAUUGUAAAUAGGAGAGGUCGGGUAAAUUUAAGAACCCACCCUGUAUUGUAAAUAGGAGAGGUUGCAAUUUAUGCAACACAUUGGUCCAUGACAAACCUCCAGCCACAAAAGAAAACGAGCCAGGCUCAUUUCCGCCCUCUUC